RNAcentral lists this long non-coding RNA (261 nucleotides) under Trifolium pratense (red clover). RNAcentral's name for it is "long non-coding RNA (TPRA_LNC012824)". The record is from RNAcentral. Lineage: Eukaryota; Viridiplantae; Streptophyta; Magnoliopsida; Fabales; Fabaceae.
UUUCCUUCUAACUUGAGAUGGUUAUUAUCCACAAUCACUUCCAUGAGGUGGUAAUAAGAAGACUUGACAGAGUACAUGCAAUUCUUACUUAAUCUCGUAUGUCAUCUUGUUCCCAAGAAAUUUAAUGGUAGCUUAACAAUUUCCAUGGCAUCUCUUUAAUUGAAUAGUUGUUGUAGCAUGUCGUUUCCAUGUAUUGUUGUUACUAUUAAUUAAUAAGCUCAGCCACCGUCAUCUCUUCCAUACCCUCAAUAAUUUCUGUUG